CCCCGCACCGGCCGGGCCGGGCCGGGGGCACCGGGCGGGGACAGGCCUGGGCUCGGUGCCCGCAGGAACGCGGCUGUCUGCGGGUCACGGGGGCCUGCGGCCGGUUACUGGGUCCGCAGAGGGGGGUGUCAGACUCAGAGCCAUUGGCAGAGCCUCAGAGCCCCCUGGGCUCAGCUGCUCCCUGCCAGCGCCAGCCCGAGCCACGGCUCUGUGGGGUCCGGAGUCACACAGCGGGACAGCUCAAUCUGCUGCUGGUGACACCAAAUAGUUCUGGGGUCACACAGCGGGACAGCUCACCUGCUGCUGCUGGUACCACAUAAGAGCGGUCUGGGAGGGUACACAGUGUGUGUCCUGUUUCUGAACUAUCUUCACAAUUAACAGAAUGGAAAAAAUCCCUUUCUGCAGCUCAAGCCCAUCCACUGACAUUAAUUUUUGCCUUCAGUCUGCUCAGCCCACAAAAGGAUACAGAAUCCUGCUAUUUCCUGUUUACUGUCCUUCUGGCAUGUUCAAGCUUGCUCUCCCUCCUGAGCUGUGGAAGUUUCAAC
Neopelma chrysocephalum (saffron-crested tyrant-manakin) is the source of this 545-nucleotide long non-coding RNA. RefSeq lists it as uncharacterized. NCBI's taxonomy places the organism in Eukaryota, Metazoa, Chordata, Aves, Passeriformes, Pipridae. The transcript has 3 exons. The record is from RefSeq and is a predicted model, not a curated record.